GAUGAACGCUGGCGGCGUGCCUAAUACAUGCAAGUCGAGCGAACAGAUGAGGAGCUUGCUCCUCUCACGUUAGCGGCGCGCGGGUGAGUAACACGUGGAUAACCUACCUAUAAGACUGGUAUAACUUCGGGACACCGGAGCUAAUACCGGAGAAUAUCUUGAACCGCAUGGUUGAAUAGUGAAAGACGGCUUUGCUGUCACUUAUAGAUGGAUCCGCGCCGCAUUAGGUAGUUGGUAAGGUAACGGCUUACCAAGGCAACGAUGCGUAGCCGACCUGAGAGGGUGAUAGGCCACACUGGAACUGGGACACGGUCCAGACUCCUACGGGAGGCAGCAGUAGGGAAUCGUACGCAGUGGGCGAAAGCCUGACGGAGCAACGCCGCGUGAGUGAUGAAGGUCUUCGGAUCGGAAUACUCUGUUAUUAGGGAAGAACAAAUGUGUACGUAACUAUGCACGUCUUGACGGUACCGAAUAAGAAAGCAACGGCUAACUACGUG
Molecule: ribosomal RNA, 497 nt
Filed under: uncultured bacterium
Lineage: Bacteria
Description: partial 16S ribosomal RNA
Rfam family: Bacterial small subunit ribosomal RNA
Source: RNAcentral